Long non-coding RNA from Pelobates fuscus (common spadefoot toad), 1162 nucleotides. RefSeq lists it as uncharacterized. The transcript is spliced from 3 exons. The record is from RefSeq and is a predicted model, not a curated record. NCBI's taxonomy places the organism in Eukaryota, Metazoa, Chordata, Amphibia, Anura, Pelobatidae.
CCAUUGUGGGAGGAGCCUGGUAACAGAGAGCUGUGACAAUGAUUGUGUUGUGACAGGGAGCAGGAGUAGUGCGGACAGAGCUUGGCGUCUCGGAUGAGGAGGGCAGGCGGGAUUUACUACAGACAUAUGACGGUUCCCAUUUAAUCCCAGAGAUGAUUGAUAAGGUGUCCUGCAGCCCAUAGUUCUCAAUGAAGGAUGACGAUGGAGCGCUUCCUCAUUCACCCUGUGAUAAUUUACUGAACCAUGAUAAAUCACCAUGAGAAGAUAUUUGCUUUCACACUGAAAAUCCCCCUCCCUGCUGACUGGAGAGGUGAUGAAUUCUGGGAAUUGUCUGUCUACAAAUUCUAUCAGCUCAGCUACCUCUGUCAGUAGAGUAUAAGUGGUUAACUCCAAAAUCAACUCCCCCGUCCAUUCUUUUGAAGUUGAUACAAUUCAUAAUAAGUUGGGUCCUGAUAACAUAUAGACCACAGAAGGUGCUUGAAAACCGGUGACAAACCUGUGUAUUUUUCUUGGUAAAAUAAUCUUAUAUUAUCCGGACUCACAAUUUCCACUUGGCAAAACCGAAUGAAAAUGUAGCCCUAGAUAGUAGAAAUUGACCUGUGAUGAAUGUCCAUAGACCCUCCAGGUUUGUAGUGGUGAGUAACGUUUACUGCCUGGCUAGCUGCGUAGGACUUUGAAUUUAAAUCCCUGAAUUAAAUUAGCCGCUCAGGGCACUCUGAGUAGAUAAUUUGGGGAACCAUGCUUAAUGUGUUAUCAAACUAUUGGAAAUCCUGAAGCAGUAGACUGCUGGCAGGUAAGUUUGAAGAAUGAAAGUUUUUGGAAAAUGUGCAUGUUUUAGAAGAGUUUAUUUGGUAAAAAUGGAGCUCCUUUGUUUAUCCCCAACUUAUUUUUAUUCGCAAGGCCACUAGAUGGCACUGCUAAUUCACAAGUAAUGAUGUAUUAAUAGGAAGAUACAAUUUAGUUUUGAUACAUUCUGGGAGAAACUUUAAAGUGCCAAUCGAAUGUGGUGAUCAGCCAGUAGAAUGCCUCUCAUAGGGAAGCAUUACACUAAUGUUUUCCUAUGAAGCACUCACUUUAUUGCCAGGAGGUUGUUCCUAAAUUGGUUCAUACAAGUGGCGAUUUCUCUCGAAUUCUGCACUUUUAUGGAUUGGGAGGUGUAGUU